Molecule: non-coding RNA, 940 nt
Organism: Nylanderia fulva
Lineage: Eukaryota; Metazoa; Arthropoda; Insecta; Hymenoptera; Formicidae
Source: RefSeq, a predicted model, not a curated record
AUCGCGCGUUUAGUGCGCGAAUUUCAUUCAAAAUAUCGCGCAUUUAAAGCGGAAGUGUCGUCCAAAGUAUCGCGCAUUUAGUGCGGGAGUUUCGUUCAAAGUAUCGCACGUUUAAUGCGGGAGUGUCGUCCAAAGUAUCGUGCGUUUAGUGCGGGAGUUUCGUCCAAAGUAUCGUGCGUUUAGUGCGAGAGUGUCGUCCAAAAUAUCGCGCGUUUAGUGCGGGAGUUUCGUUCAAAAUAUCGUGCGUUUAGUGCGGGAGUGCUUUUCAAAAUAUUUUGCGCGUAUUUCGGAAAUCGGACUUUCACAAAUAAACAGACAAUUGUGAUCAACCCGACUUGAGAGGAGGAGGAGGCUUGUAUAGGAGGCAUCGGACACCAGCGGAGCAACUCUGGGGUCAACGUAGCUUCGAUGCAGUUAUAACUCUGCUGUUGCGCAUCUGUCGAUUCAUGACUGCUCGAAAACACGUACUGCUUGUGGAAAACGUGUUUUCAAUCGAAAUUGUAAGUAGCUUCACGAUAAGUCCCCAGGAGUCAAUAAAUCGGGGGCCUCUUCCCAUCUACGAUGACCUAUGCUCGGAUGCACCGUCCGUCUUUCUCUCGCUCUUCUCUCUUCUGACCGAUCGUCCUGUCAUCGUUUGUCUUUGUCGUUUCCGCUGACCAGGCCACCACUGGUUCACCUCUGUCGAAGCUAACUUCUCCCCUCCGGCAGGACAGACUAGGUCGGCGAAUCGAAUCCAGCGUUUAUUUCUUGCUGCAGAGAGUUGCCGGAGGGUGCGAAAUUUUCCAAGUAGUACGCGUGAAUACAAGAGAGAUAGAAUAAUGCAGUAGGGAGAGACAAGAUAGAUCGUACAAAGAUCCAACCGGAGAGAGUAAAAUGAUACGAAUCAAAGAGAGAGAGAGAGAGAGAAAACGAGACUAUAAAAUCGUACGUGAAAAAGAAC